UACGGAGGGUGCGAGCGUUGUCCGGAAUCAUUGGGCGUAAAGGGCGCGUAGGUGGCCCGGUCAGUCUUUGGUGAAAGCGCGGGGCUCAACCCUGCGUCGGCCAGGGAUACUGCCGCGGCUCGAGCACUGUAGAGGCAGGCGGAAUUCCGGGUGUAGCGGUGGAAUGCGUAGAGAUCCGGAAGAACACCGGUGGCGAAGGCGGCCUGCUGGGCAGUUUGGCUGACACUGAGGCGCGAAAGCGUGGGGAGCGAACCGG
This 256-nucleotide ribosomal RNA is filed under the name uncultured bacterium. Its description in RNAcentral is "partial 16S ribosomal RNA". It matches the Rfam family "Bacterial small subunit ribosomal RNA", at positions 524 to 776 of the family's 1533-position model. The record is from RNAcentral.